GACGAACGCUGGCGGCGUGCUUAACACAUGCCAGUCGAACGGAAAGGCCCUGCUUUUGUGGGGUGCUCGAGUGGCGAACGGGUGAGUAACACGUGAGUAACCUGCCCUUGACUUUGGGAUAACUUCAGGAAACUGGGGCUAAUACCGGAUAGGAGCUCCUGCUGCAUGGUGGGGGUUGGAAAGUUUCGGCGGUUGGGGAUGGACUCGCGGCUUAUCAGCUUGUUGGUGGGGUAGUGGCUUACCAAGGCUUUGACGGGUAGCCGGCCUGGGAGGGUGACCGGCCACAUUGGGACUGAGAUACGGCCCAGAGUCAUACGGGAGGCAGCAGUGGGGAAUAUUGCACAAUGGGCGGCAGCCUGAUGCAGCAACGCCGCGUGCGGGAUGACGGCCUUCGGGUUGUAAACCGCUUUCGCCUGUGACGAAGCGUGAGUGACGGUAAUGUGUAAAGAAGCACCGGCUAACUACGUG
Molecule: ribosomal RNA, 468 nt
Filed under: uncultured bacterium
Lineage: Bacteria
Description: partial 16S ribosomal RNA
Rfam family: Bacterial small subunit ribosomal RNA
Source: RNAcentral